This 2331-nucleotide ribosomal RNA is filed under the name uncultured Lysinibacillus sp. RNAcentral's name for it is "partial contains 16S ribosomal RNA, 16S-23S ribosomal RNA intergenic spacer, and 23S ribosomal RNA". The stretch from base 1 to 1525 matches the Rfam family "Bacterial small subunit ribosomal RNA". The record is from RNAcentral. Lineage: Bacteria; Bacillati; Bacillota; Bacilli; Caryophanales; Bacillaceae.
GACGAACGCUGGCGGCGUGCCUAAUACAUGCAAGUCGAGCGAACAGAGAAGGAGCUUGCUCCUUUGACGUUAGCGGCGGACGGGUGAGUAACACGUGGGCAACCUACCCUAUAGUUUGGGAUAACUCCGGGAAACCGGGGCUAAUACCAAAUAAUCUUUUGUCCCUCAUGGGACAAUACUGAAAGACGGUUUCUGCUGUCGCUAUAGGAUGGGCCCGCGGCGCAUUAGCUAGUUGGUGAGGUAACGGCUCACCAAGGCAACGAUGCGUAGCCGACCUGAGAGGGUGAUCGGCCACACUGGGACUGAGACACGGCCCAGACUCCUACGGGAGGCAGCAGUAGGGAAUCUUCCACAAUGGGCGAAAGCCUGAUGGAGCAACGCCGCGUGAGUGAAGAAGGAUUUCGGUUCGUAAAACUCUGUUGUAAGGGAAGAACAAGUACAGUAGUAACUGGCUGUACCUUGACGGUACCUUAUUAGAAAGCCACGGCUAACUACGUGCCAGCAGCCGCGGUAAUACGUAGGUGGCAAGCGUUGUCCGGAAUUAUUGGGCGUAAAGCGCGCGCAGGUGGUUUCUUAAGUCUGAUGUGAAAGCCCACGGCUCAACCGUGGAGGGUCAUUGGAAACUGGGAGACUUGAGUGCAGAAGAGGAUAGUGGAAUUCCAAGUGUAGCGGUGAAAUGCGUAGAGAUUUGGAGGAACACCAGUGGCGAAGGCGACUAUCUGGUCUGUAACUGACACUGAGGCGCGAAAGCGUGGGGAGCAAACAGGAUUAGAUACCCUGGUAGUCCACGCCGUAAACGAUGAGUGCUAAGUGUUAGGGGGUUUCCGCCCCUUAGUGCUGCAGCUAACGCAUUAAGCACUCCGCCUGGGGAGUACGGUCGCAAGACUGAAACUCAAAGGAAUUGACGGGGGCCCGCACAAGCGGUGGAGCAUGUGGUUUAAUUCGAAGCAACGCGAAGAACCUUACCAGGUCUUGACAUCCCGUUGACCACUGUAGAGAUAUGGUUUUCCCUUCGGGGACAACGGUGACAGGUGGUGCAUGGUUGUCGUCAGCUCGUGUCGUGAGAUGUUGGGUUAAGUCCCGCAACGAGCGCAACCCUUGAUCUUAGUUGCCAUCAUUUAGUUGGGCACUCUAAGGUGACUGCCGGUGACAAACCGGAGGAAGGUGGGGAUGACGUCAAAUCAUCAUGCCCCUUAUGACCUGGGCUACACACGUGCUACAAUGGACGAUACAAACGGUUGCCAACUCGCGAGAGGGAGCUAAUCCGAUAAAGUCGUUCUCAGUUCGGAUUGUAGGCUGCAACUCGCCUACAUGAAGCCGGAAUCGCUAGUAAUCGCGGAUCAGCAUGCCGCGGUGAAUACGUUCCCGGGCCUUGUACACACCGCCCGUCACACCACGAGAGUUUGUAACACCCGAAGUCGGUGAGGUAACCUUUUGGAGCCAGCCGCCGAAGGUGGGAUAGAUGAUUGGGGUGAAGUCGUAACAAGGUAGCCGUAUCGGAAGGUGCGGCUGGAUCACCUCCUUUCUAAGGAUAUUUUCGGAAUACAAACCUUGGGUUUGUAAGAUUACGUUUUGCGUUCAGUUUUGAAGGUUCAUCAUUACGAUGAAAUACUUCAAAACUUGUUCUUUGAAAACUGGAUAAAACGACAUUGAAAUUGUAACAAACACAUUUAUUUUUUAAGUUUUUUAUAGGCUUAAUAACUAAAUAGGGUUUCAAGACACAAGCAGUUCUAGGAAGCGAACGAGUGAAUGAAGGAGCGUACUUACGUACGUGACUGAUUGAACGAGAGAAGCUGACAACGAAAUGCGCAGUUGAUUGGAAGCCGAUAGGUUAAGUUAUUAAGGGCGCACGGCGAAUGCCUUGGCACUAGGAGCCGAAGAAGGACGGCACUAACACCGAUAUGCUUCGGGGAGCUGUAAGUGAGCUUUGAUCCGGAGAUUUCCGAAUGGGGGAACCCACUACGUUUAAUCGCGUAGUAUCUUGACGUGAAUACAUAGCGUCUUGAAGGCAGACCCAGGGAACUGAAACAUCUAAGUACCUGGAGGAAGAGAAAGAAAAAUCGAUUCCCUGAGUAGCGGCGAGCGAAACGGGAAGAGCCCAAACCAAGAGGCUUGCCUCUUGGGGUUGUAGGACACUCUAUACGGAGUUACAAAGGAAUGAGUUAGAUGAAGCGACUUGGAAAGGUCCGCCAGAGCAGGUAAAAGCCCUGUAGUCGAAAGUUCGUUCCCUCCAGAGUGGAUCCUGAGUACGGCGGAACACGUGAAAUUCCGUCGGAAUCCGGGAGGACCAUCUCCCAAGGCUAAAUACUACCUAGUGACCGAUAGUGAACC